RNA transcript from Neofelis nebulosa (Clouded leopard), 2810 nucleotides. It is a transcript of the gene named PML-RARA regulated adaptor molecule 1, with no coding region annotated. Lineage: Eukaryota; Metazoa; Chordata; Mammalia; Carnivora; Felidae. The transcript has 10 exons. The record is from RefSeq and is a predicted model, not a curated record.
CGUCCAUGGCCCAUGUGACAGACAGCUGCCCCUACAAUAGGGAAGUCCUGCUCAGAGCUGAGAAUCCGUGGGGAAGUGUGGAAAUGAGGCAGGCGGAUGAGGCAACAAGAGCCGGCAGAAGGACCUCCCUCAUCACGCUCCCCCAACUCCUCGGUCUCCCGGCCCAGAGCUGACCAUGCCCCUUACCCACCGAGAACUCGCCCUCCCGAGGAGUCCUCCCUGGAGACCAGCAGUCAGCCAGCCCCCAGAACUACAGAGAGUCAAGAAACUAGUGACCGUGUUGGGCAUGUGCUGACGGCCGAUGCCCAAAGCAUGGAGAGACAGCAGCGGGCAGGACGGGAACUCAAAUGCCAGACAGGAUCUGGGGGCAGGCAGGGGCUGUCUCCGCCUCCUUUCCUUCCUCCUCUGUCCUCCCCACCCCGCCAUCAGCCCCCACCCCCGUGGGGCCCAUGGAGCAGAAGCCACAGUCACUUCCUGAAGGCAGCGGCCCAGCUCAGGUCCCACUCGCCCUGUGGCCCAUCACCCGCCUGUAGCCAUGGGGAGCCAUCAGGACUUCCGGAGCCUUCAAGCAAAGUUCCAGGCCUCUCAGCUCGAGACCAGUGAACUCCCCAAAAAACCCCUGAAGCCUGAGUUCCACAAACCCCUAAAGAAGCUUCCAACAGCUGAGCUAAGCGAGCACCCCAAAAAGCCCCCGCAGCCCGAGUUCAAUGCAGUGCCCAGGAAGCCUUCGCAGCCCAGUUUCGCUGAUCUGCCCAGGAAGCCCUCCAAACCCGAGUUCAGUGAACCCUCCAAGAAGUUCCCGCAGCUCGGGGCCCCUCAAAAGGCCUUGCCCCCCCCAGAGCCCAAAUCCAGCGCCUUCCCCAAAAAGCUACAGCAGCCUGAGCCCAACGAGGCCACCCCAGACCCCUCACAGCCCAACUUCAGUACCCUCCCCAAGAAGCCCCCGCAGCCUCAGGUCGGUGAGCUUCCUAAGAAGUGCCUGCCGCAGCCUGAGUUCAGUGAGGUCCCUCAGACACCCCCUUGGAAGGUGGAGACCAGUGGGCCCCACCCCCACCCCUCAAAGCCUGACGUCAGUACCCUCCCCAAGAAGCCCCCACAGCCUGAGUCCGGUGGGCACCCCAAAAAGCCCCCGCAGCCUCAGGUCGGUGAGCUCCCUAAGAAGUGCCUGCCGCAGCCUGAGUUCAGUGAGGUCCCUCAGACACCCCCUUGGAAGGUGGAGACCAGUGGGCCCCACCCCCACCCCUCAAAGCCUGACGUCAGUACCCUCCCCAAGAAGCCCCCACAGCCUGAGUCCGGUGGGCACCCCAAAAAGCCCCCGCAGCCUCAGGUCGGUGAGCUCCCUAAGAAGUGCCUGCCGCAGCCUGAGUUCAGUGAGGUCCCUCAGACACCCCCCUGGAAGGCUGAGUCCAGUGAGCCCCACCCCCACCCAUCACAGCCAGACUUCAGUACGAAACCCAAGAAGAUCCCAGCCCCUCAGCUGAGUGACCUCCCCAAGAAGCUCCUGCACCCUGAUUUUGGAGACCUCACCAGGAGGUCCUCAGAGCCGGAAGUCAGUGUGGUUCCCAAGAGGCCACGGCAGUCCGAAUUCAAAGCACCUUCCAAGAAGCCCCUGCAGCCCGAGCCGGGGGGCCUACCCAGGGUGGCCUCAGAGCCUGAGUUUGGCCUACUCCCCAGCAAGUUCCUGCAGCCUGAGUGCCAGGGGCCCCCCCGCAAGUUCUCACAGCCCGAGCCCAGUGCUCUGCCCAAGAAGCGCCCGCAUGCCGAGUUCUUUGGUGAUCUUCCCAGAAAGCCCCCUCUCCCUGGCUCUGUUUCGGAGAGCUCGCUCCCCACUGCUGUCGCGGGCCCCGGCCCCAGGCUCCCACUCAGUCUCACUCACAGUGGACGGUCGAGGCUGGGCCUCAAGCAGGGCCACCCGCCCCGGCGGAGGCCUCUGCCCCCUGCCAGCAGCCUGGGACCCCCUCCAGCCAAGCCCCCGCUGCCCCCAGGCCCCAGGGACGUUCAGAGCUUCCGGAGAGCCGCAGCUGCAGCCACAGCUCUGAGGAGGGCUCGUUCCGCUGCUGCCAUCCACUUCCAGGAGCAACAGACGAAAGACAUCCCGCAGGACCAGGAUGAGAUCUACGAGCUGUAUGACGACGUGGGGCCCACAGACCACUCCGGCCCCAGCGGCGAGGGCAGAGAUGGGGUGCCAUCUACCCAGCAACCCCCCAGGCCGCCACAAGACCCAGAGCUCAGGAAGGAGAAGGCCCCCCAGCCCCAGCAGUUGCCACCUGCAGACCUUAAGUCUCUGAAGCAGAUCCGGAAGGCAGAGAAAGCCGAGAGGGAGUUCCGGAAGAAGUUCAAGUUUGAGGGAGAGAUAGUGAUUCAGACAAGGAUGAUGAUCGAUCCCAACGCCAAGACGCGUCGCGGGGGUGGCAAGUACCUGGGGAUCCGGCGUGGGGAGAUCCUAGAGGUGAUCGAGUUCACCAACAAGGAUGAGAUGCUGUGCCGGGACACCAAGGGCAAAUAUGGCUACGUGCCCAGAACAGCUCUACUGCCCCUGGAAACGGAGGUGUAUGACGAUGUUGGCUUCUAGGGUAUGUAGGUGCUCUAGGUGGGCUGGAAGGGAUCACGGUGCCUGGAAGGAGACCCUCUGGAGAGCCAUCCAUUCCCCAGGGGACAGUAAGGCCCACAGGUGUGGGUACCCAGGACAACCUGCCCGCCCAGCCACCUGCUAACCCAGGAGCCUUGGAUCCCAGCUUGGCAGUCACAGAACCAUCCAGGCUCGUGCCUGACUGCAUACAUGAACCACAUAAAGCUCCUAUUUAAAGCGA